RNAcentral lists this ribosomal RNA (246 nucleotides) under uncultured bacterium. RNAcentral's name for it is "partial 16S ribosomal RNA". It matches the Rfam family "Bacterial small subunit ribosomal RNA", at positions 1255 to 1500 of the family's 1533-position model. The record is from RNAcentral.
CCGUGAGGUGGAGCGAAUCACAAAACUCGGUCUCAGUUCAGAUUGCAGGCUGCAACUCGCCUGCAUGAAGUUGGAAUUGCUAGUAAUCGCGAAUCAGAAUGUCGCGGUGAAUACGUUCCCGGGCCUUGUACACACCGCCCGUCACACCAUGAGAGUCGAUAACACCCGAAGCCUGUGAGCUAACCUUUUAGGAGGCAGCAGUCGAAGGUGGGGUUGAUGAUUGGGGUGAAGUCGUAACAAGGUAAC